This 492-nucleotide ribosomal RNA is filed under the name uncultured bacterium. Its description in RNAcentral is "partial 16S ribosomal RNA". It matches the Rfam family "Bacterial small subunit ribosomal RNA", at positions 29 to 507 of the family's 1533-position model. The record is from RNAcentral.
AAUGAACGCUGGCGGUAUGCCUAACACAUGCAAGUCGAGCGACAACACAAGAAGAUCGUUCUCCUGCGGUUAGCGAGGGGCGGGCGGGUAAGAAAUACAUCAGAAUCUUCUUUGUCUGGGGUGAUUACGGAAGAAAAGUGACACUAAUAGCUAAUACGAUCUACGGGUUGAAUCAAUAGAGCUUGGGAGCUUUCCUGAUACAAUUAGACGAUGUCGCAUUGGCUUGUUGGUUUGGUAAAGUCUCACCAAGGCAACGAUACGUUGCUGAUCUGAGAGGAUGAUCAGCCACACUGGAACUGAGACACGGUCCAGACUCCUACGGGAGGCAGCAGUGGGGAAUCUUCCGCAAUGGGCGAAAGCCUGACCCAGCAACACCGCGUGAGUGAAGAAGGCCUUCGGAUCGUAAAGCCCUUUUGUUGGGGAAGAAAAAAAGUAGAUUAAUCUCUGGACGUCUUGACGGUACCUAAUCAGAAAGCCACGGCUAACUUCGUG